Numida meleagris (helmeted guineafowl) is the source of this 2637-nucleotide long non-coding RNA. RefSeq lists it as uncharacterized. The record is from RefSeq and is a predicted model, not a curated record. Lineage: Eukaryota; Metazoa; Chordata; Aves; Galliformes; Numididae. The transcript is spliced from 6 exons.
UUUUCCCUCAGAACCCAGAAUCUUCUGAUAUGGGUAGAUUGAGGGGAAGUCUGCUUGUUCAGAGAGAUUCAUGGACAUUUGCCUUUUACAGAACAAGGAAAAGAUGGUGGUUCUUGCAAAUGCUUCAGUAGCAUUUCACUUGUGACCUCAAGGCUCUCCAGAGCUGAGCAAAGAAGCUGUUCUGCAGUGAAAUCCAUUAAUGAGUAACACUUGCAGAGCAGGGAUUGCCUCUGUAAGAGUGGAACUGUGUUUGGUGAAGAAAGGGGUGGAAUAAAGGCUCAAAGAGAUUUGUCACAGUUAGGGGGGGAAGGAAGAGAAAAUGGAAUACCUUACUGCCAGAUGCUGAGAAAGAGGAACCUCAGGAAGAGUGGAGAAAGAAAGAUGCAGCCUUGGCAGAAUAUGCAAGUCUCCUGGGAUAGGAGGGCAAUGCAGUACGUAAACCAUGGAAAGUGAUAAUGGAAGUUACAGAGGCCUUUGGGGCCUGGAGCUCUAUUGAUAUUGCAGCUUGGCUGCAAGGAGACAGAUUGAAAAUAAAAGCAUUAAAGAUCGUUUUUCACCUGGAUGAGCUCUGCCCUCCACUUCACCAUACAGCAAGUCAGAAGCAUGCCCUGACACAGUGCCAGGAGCAGCAGGGGUAACGACAAGCUGCCAGGGAGAGAAAAAGUCUCCUUGUCUAGUACUGCUGCCAUAUAGGUAACCGUGGUAUUUAGUGACUAGCUAACACUGAUAAUACUUAUCCCAUGCCUGCCCUCUUCCAUGGGACAUAGGAGGGCAUCUACGAUUUUGUGUCUGGCUGUACUGAAAAUUUUGUCACCUGAAAGGCUGUAGACUUUCAUGCCAGUCUUAGCAGUGGUAAAGAGGUAAGCAGGAAGGUGUUGAUACCAAAAGAGAGAGGAGGAUGUGGUGGUAGUAGCCAGUAUUACAGACUGGAAUACUCAGCUAGUACUAUGACAAAAACCCAACUGGAAAAUUUCCCUGGAGUACUAGAUGGGAUCAAGAUCAGCAAUCUGUGUCUCCAUUUGUCCUGGGCAAGAUCCGUAACCACAAGGACACUUCCAAGCAGUAGGACUUCUUUCAGUUUCUACUGUGGAAGCACUUUCAAUUACCAUAAAGUAUUUACCUGUUUUUAAGCAUAUACUGACUGGUGCAUUUGCUUCCUUUGUGGAUGUACUAUGCUCCAAGAUAUGAUGGCUCUUCUGUUUUUAUGGGUCUGGGAAUAUCUUAUAAACUCACAGGAAGAAACUUGAGCUUCUACUAAAGGAAGAAAUAUCUGCUGUGAAUACGAUGGGAAAUGUGUACUCCAGAUAAAGAUAGCGAGGCAGGCCAGCUGGGUGACUGUGAGCUCACAGCUGUUUAUAGGGUGCCUGAGUGCCUGACUGAAGACAACAAAUCUACUAGGGCAUGCAAUAUCUAGAAGUAAGGUAUCAAGAUGCUUCCUGUAGCAGUGUUUAAAAUCCAGGACUUAGCCCUCUGUUGCUACAGAGCAUCUGUCUUUCCCAUUUUCUCUUUCCUGGUUUUCUACUUAUUUUCCUAGUGCUUGCUUAUUUGAUUUGUUUUCUGAGAAUUAGGGCUGUACCAGCUAGAUUUCCCUGUUCUUUUGUUGACUGAAGUACCAAGUGUGAAUGUUGCCUUCAUGAGAGUGUAUUUGUAAAUGGUGUCUGUAAAACUGUUUAGACAUAAUCCUGGCUCUACUGAAAUUAGUGGGAGUUUUGGUGUGUGUCAACAAGGCCAGGAUUUUAUCCCCAGUAAUUAGUACACUGAAAAUGAGUCCACCAAGAUGAUUGCCACAGAGCAGUGUUUUUAUAGAACAGUUUAUUAGCUUUUAAAUCCCAACCAAAGUAUUUUUAUCUUCAGAAGGCAAGAAAAUAUUAACUUUAUUUCAUGUCAUUGCUUAAGCUACAUGCUAAUGAUUGGCCAUUAUUAUAAUGAAAAUCUUUCAGGUACAGAAUGUGCCCAUUACUGAAAAAUGGAAGAUAGAAAAGUAAGAUAGGUCAAUACCAAUAAAGAGCUUGCCACCCUUAGACAACGUAUCAGCAAAAUCGCAAAAACAGAUGUGAUAACACUGCAAAUAUACUCAGGUAUAUUAAUAUCUGUUUAUUCCUAGUGUUAAGUAUCCUAUAUGCUCAUCUCCAUCACUAAAGCAUACGUGCAUCUGCCUCUGAAACACAAAAGGCAGUCAGCUAGCUCAAAUCUUCCUUUUCUUGGUUCUCAAGAGUUUUUAGGGUACUUUCCUUUUUCAUUCACCCAUAUUAUUCAGCACUCUCUGGUAUAGACAGGAGGUAUUACAGCAGCUCGUACUCCCUGUUACUCAGUUGCUGAUUUGACAUUUCUGCUGGCCGUUCUUUUUUUCCAGAUAGAGAGGAGUAAGGGCAUUGUGAACUGUAACCAUUCAGAACUAUGACUAUAGCUGACUGCACUGUCACUUUUUUGGUAAAUUUAUUUGGGCAAGAGAGCAUAAAGAAAUGGGAUACUGGGGAAUGUGCUGGACUAAAUUCUCUCCCCUUCAGGUUGUGCCUCAAAGAUUCAAAACAAAAAAAGGUGGAAGUCAUAGUUAGUUAUCUGUUACAUACUGCAAAGAAAUUCUGCUUCCUUAAAUAAUGUGAUUUCCUUUAAAAAAAAAAAAAAAGAAAUCUGUGU